UACACUCCUACGGGAGGCAGCAGUGGGGAAUAUUGGCCAAUGGGCGCAAGCCUGAUCCAGCCAUGCCGCGUGAGUGAUGAAGGCCCUAGGGUUGUAAAGCUCUUUCACCGGUGAAGAUAAUGACGGUAACCGGAGAAGAAGCCCCGGCUAACUUCGUGCCAGCAGCCGCGGUAAUACGAAGGGGGCUAGCGUUGUUCGGAUUUACUGGGCGUAAAGCGCACGUAGGCGGACUAUUAAGUCAGGGGUGAAAUCCCGGGGCUCAACCCCGGAACUGCCUUUGAUACUGGUAGUCUUGAGUUCGAGAGAGGUGAGUGGAAUUCCGAGUGUAGAGGUGAAAUUCGUAGAUAUUCGGAGGAACACCAGUGGCGAAGGCGGCUCACUGGCUCGAUACUGACGCUGAGGUGCGAAAGCGUGGGGAGCAAACAGGAUUAGAAACCCCGGUAGUCCCA
Molecule: ribosomal RNA, 449 nt
Filed under: uncultured organism
Description: partial 16S ribosomal RNA
Rfam family: Bacterial small subunit ribosomal RNA
Source: RNAcentral